GUCCUGCGAUGAGCUGGAGGAGGACUGGCUCAGGUAAGGCCCUUCUCUUCCGGAGCCCCCUUAGCAGUCUGGUUAUCACCCUGGUGACAGGCCAGGUUUGGGGUUGUUGGCUUGGAAACUGGGGUCAUGGUGUCAUCUCAUUUUUCCCCUUCAGGUCCCGAGACAGUGUGGAGGGUUGUGUUUUCCUUUGGUGCCCUUUUAUAAAACAGAAGUGCAGGGCUCUGUUUGGAUGUAACCAUGUCUGUCUCUCUCCCACCCUUCUCCCUGUAGUGGCUCUUCUGCCAAGAGACACUCAAGAAAGGCUUUCUGAGAAAUAAAACACGAGUGUAGAGG
RNAcentral lists this long non-coding RNA (333 nucleotides) under Rattus norvegicus (Norway rat). Its description in RNAcentral is "long non-coding RNA NONRATT016036". Lineage: Eukaryota; Metazoa; Chordata; Mammalia; Rodentia; Muridae. The record is from RNAcentral.